RNAcentral lists this ribosomal RNA (790 nucleotides) under Bacillus sp. AFS075960. RNAcentral describes it as "bacterial LSU rRNA". It matches the Rfam family "Bacterial large subunit ribosomal RNA", at positions 1645 to 2452 of the family's 2925-position model. The record is from RNAcentral. Lineage: Bacteria; Bacillati; Bacillota; Bacilli; Caryophanales; Bacillaceae.
UACCGCAAACCGACACAGGUGGGCGAGAUGAGUAUUCUAAGGCGCUUGAGAGAACUCGGGAGAAGGAACUCGGCAAAUUGGUACCGUAACUUCGGGAUAAGGUACGCCCUUGUAGCUUGACUGGCCUGCGCCAGAAGGGUGAAGGGGUUGCAAUAAACUGGUGGCUGCGACUGUUUAAUAAAAACACAGCACUCUGCAAACACGAAAGUGGACGUAUAGGGUGUGACGCCUGCCCGGUGCCGGAAGAUUAAAUGAUGGGGUGCAAGCUCUUGAUUGAAGUCCCGGUAAACGGCGGCCGUAACUANNUUGUCGGGUAAGUUCCGACCUGCACGAAUGGCGUAACGAUGGCCACACUGUCUCCUCCCGAGACUCAGCGAAGUUGAAGUGUUUGUGAUGAUGCAAUCUACCCGCGGCUAGACGGAAAGACCCCAUGAACCUUUACUGUAGCUUUGCAUUGGACUUUGAACCGAUCUGUGUAGGAUAGGUGGGAGGCUAUGAAACCGGAACGCUAGUUUCGGUGGAGCCGUCCUUGAAAUACCACCCUGGUUUGUUUGAGGUUCUAACCUUGGUCCGUGAUCCGGAUCGGGGACAGUGCAUGGUAGGCAGUUUGACUGGGGCGGUCUCCUCCCAAAGGGUAACGGAGGAGUACGAAGGUACGCUAGGUACGGUCGGAAAUCGUGCUGAUAGUGCAAUGGCAUAAGCGUGCUUAACUGCGAGACCGACAAGUCGAGCAGGUGCGAAAGCAGGUCAUAGUGAUCCGGUGGUUCUGUAUGGAAGGGCCAUCGCUCAA